UGGGGAAUCUUGCGCAAUGGGCGAAAGCCUGACGCAGCAACGCCGCGUGCGGGAUGAAGGCCUUCGGGUUGUAAACCGCUUUCAGUGGGGACGAACCAAGACGGUACCCACAGAAGAAGCCCCGGCCAACUACGUGCCAGCAGCCGCGGUAACACGUAGGGGGCAAGCGUUGUCCGGAUUCAUUGGGCGUAAAGAGCUCGUAGGCGGUUCGAUAAGUCGGGUGUGAAACCUCCAGGCUCAACCUGGAGACGCCACCCGAUACUGUCGUGACUAGAGUCCAGUAGGGGAGCGUGGAAUUCCUGGUGUAGCGGUGGAAUGCGUAGAGAUCGGGAAGAACAUCGGUGGCGAAGGCGGCUCGCUGGGCUGUUGCUGACGCUGAGGCGCGAAAGCGUGGGGAGCAAACAGGAUUAGAUACCCCUGUAGUCCCUGAGCGGGCUGGCAAGGCGCAU
RNAcentral lists this ribosomal RNA (449 nucleotides) under uncultured bacterium. RNAcentral describes it as "bacterial SSU rRNA". It matches the Rfam family "Bacterial small subunit ribosomal RNA", at positions 355 to 825 of the family's 1533-position model. The record is from RNAcentral.